This 253-nucleotide ribosomal RNA is filed under the name uncultured bacterium. RNAcentral describes it as "partial 16S ribosomal RNA". It matches the Rfam family "Bacterial small subunit ribosomal RNA", at positions 524 to 776 of the family's 1533-position model. The record is from RNAcentral.
UACGUAGGGGGCAAGCGUUGUCCGGAAUCAUUGGGCGUAAAGAGCGUGUAGGCGGCCAGAUAAGUCCGCUGUGAAAUCUCGAGGCUCAACUUCGAGCUGUCGGUGGAAACUGUCUGGCUAGAGUCCGGAAGAGGAGAAUGGAAUUCCUGGUGUAGCGGUGAAAUGCGCAGAUAUCGGGAAGAACACCCGUGGCGAAGGCGGUUCUCUGGGACGGUACUGACGCUGAGACGCGAAAGCGUGGGGAGCGAACAGG